UAGCACCAUAGUUAACAACGUACGUGAACUGCUUAGAACCCGAUGAACCUAAAUAUCCAGCGUUAGGUUAAAUUGCAUUAUUAUGAGUAUAUUAUUUUAUAAUGUAUUAAUAGUGUGCUGAGAAAGUAUUUUUUUCAUAAAAAGGGGCUUUCUGUUAAUACAAUUUAUAUAUUCUUUUAUAUAUUAUUUUUACAUUGUAAAUCAUAAAGAGUCAUGAUUAAUGGUAGUUUACAUAUAAAUUAAUUAAUGUAAGAUCGAUGAAUUUCUAGAUAAAUAGUUAUUUAUUAAUUAAUUGAAUCGAUAUAUAAUGCUUACAUAAUUUUUUAAUAUAUAAUAUGUACAUGAACAGUAUUAAAUACUUUAAUGUUUUAAAUUCAUUUAUAUUAUAACAAUGCUAUAG
RNAcentral lists this ribosomal RNA (400 nucleotides) under Xenocatantops humilis humilis. RNAcentral's name for it is "eukaryotic LSU rRNA". The record is from RNAcentral. Lineage: Eukaryota; Metazoa; Arthropoda; Insecta; Orthoptera; Acrididae.